RNAcentral lists this long non-coding RNA (1974 nucleotides) under Homo sapiens (human). RNAcentral describes it as "HSALNT0354398". Lineage: Eukaryota; Metazoa; Chordata; Mammalia; Primates; Hominidae. The record is from RNAcentral.
UCAGCUUGCCAAAGUUGUUAGGAUUACAGGCAUGAGCCACUGUGCCUUGCCAGCACAGUAUUUCUUAAGGGGGUACUCCACUAUUGAAUCUGGUAUUUCCUUCCAAGUCAGCCAUACCCAUUCUGUAAAUUUGGUGACUGGCACUUUCCCACUGGACUAAGCUCAUAGUUAAAUAAGCAGGCAGCUUCCAUCAAACUCAUGCUUGCCAUCCUAAAAGUGAUCCAAAUGAUGAACAAAUUAUUUACAAUAGCUUCUCAUUCUUUGAAAUGUUUAAAAUCUAUUCUAAGGCUUGUCCAUUCCUCUUGCCUUCCAUUGCAUGGGUUAGUAUGUAAACAACACAUGCAUGGCCAGCAAGGCUGAAAACUCAAUUACGGUGACCCCAAUAGAAAUAGCCACACCCAAGUUUUCCCUUGCUUAGGUCAGGCCAGGUACUCAUGUCUGUGCCCACGCAGCAGGGAUUGUAAGACACAUUCUAAUUGCAGAGAUAAUAAAAUGUUCAGAAGUGAGACCCUUAGAAACGGUGGCAUGUGAUGCUCUUCUUUUAUUGCUUCUCCUAGCAUUGUCCCUUUUAUGAUUCUGCUUUAACUCAAACUGUCAGAAAGGGUGUAGCAACAAGCAAUAUGACUGUGGUGCCCAGGAUUCCAAAAAGAAUCCUUCAGUGUUACCAUGCCAACCAGCAUCCAUCCCAAGAGUUGCCUCUGAAUAAGCCACAGUUGGAGGGGCCUCGUUCGAGAAUCUAAGUGGAGUCAAAGUUCUGCUUCACCAAGGCCCACAAAAUGGUAGCAGUAGACUCAUUCCAGUUGUCCAGAGUCCACCCACUUUGAACUUAGAACAAAGAGAACUCUCCAUCCAGAGUUUGGAUAACUCUCCCAUCAAGGUUAACUGACAUUGAGAUCACCAUGUCUUCGCAACAUGAAACAAUGCGCACCAUGCAAAUACUCUUCUUUCUCCCAGAGAAAGCAUGUGAAUGCUUGGGCAACAUUUAGAAAUUGCCGAUGUGGCAUCUCCAGGUAUUUCCUGAGUCCCCAUUUUUUCACUUGGUGUCAUCUUGUACAUUUAAAAUCUUUUGCAUUCUCCUUUUCAAUUUCCCAUUUGUUCUCUAUGUCCCUAGCAGCUCAAUUCUGAAUUUGGUGUGAGUUCCGUGUAGGGAGGAGUAUAGUCACUGCCCUCUCAUGGCCCAGGAAUCCCCUAACUAAAAUGAGCAGUGCUCCAAAGUAACCUCAUGGCCUUGUGUGUCUCACAAUGACAGCCUCUGUCACAAAUACAAAACAGGGGAGAUGAGCCUGGGUAAUGGACACAGGCCCCCAUCCCUUCCCACAGAUACACAUCACAGAGCAAAGACCCUGCAUAACUGCCCUCUACUGGGUAAAGGGUUAAUGCCUUUUAACAUUGGUAGUUUUGUGGUUAGAGCAUCCCAAAAAAUAACUUCCAUUGUGAGUGUUGUACCCUCCUCUACCAUUGCAGGAGACUUGCUUUUUCACACAUGGCCUGAGUUCCUUCCUUCCCAGCACGCCUGCCUGCCAAAUCUCAUCCCUACCUCUGCCUGAGGCCUCCAGAUGUUAGUAGUGAUGGAUGGAAACAGGACCAGGACUGAAUCCAUACGUGGUCACAGCACCACUGCCCCUGGUUCCUGGAGGCAGCCUGGAGAGGAAGCUUUAUUCCUCAUUAGUGAGAGAGCUGAUGGCUACAUGUUGACAUGAAGGACUCCUUUUGUUGUAUUCAACAUAAAGCCCCUUUCCCCAAACUCUUACUCUGGUUUCUUUAUUUUCCUACUCCCUCUACUACCUCCAACUCUUUUUCUUUUCUUUCUUUCUUUCUUUCUUUUUUUUUUUUUUUUUGCUGGAACUUUAUUGUGGUAUAAUUUACUUAACAAAGUUUACUCAUUUCAAGUGUAUGAUUCUCAGUACAUUUAAAAUUGAGCAACCCAUAUACACCAUGGAAUACUAUGCAGCCAGAAAAAAUGAUGAGUUCAUG